GCCUGCGUGAGCAUGGGUGUGAGUGGAAGCGUCUGGGAAGGUGCGCGAUACAGGGUGACAGCCCCGUACACAAAAGCGCAUGUGCUGUGAGCUCGAUGAGUAGGGCGGGACACGUGGUAUCCUGUCUGAAUAUGGGGGGACCAUCCUCCAAGGCUAAAUACUCCUGACUGACCGAUAGUGAACCAGUACCGUGAGGGAAAGGCGAAAAGAACCCCGGCGAGGGGAGUGAAAAAGAACCUGAAACCGUGUACGUACAAGCAGUGGGAGCACAGGUUUACCUGUGUGACUGCGUACCUUUUGUAUAAUGGGUCAGCGACUUAUAUUCUGUAGCAAGGUUAACCGUAUAGGGGAGCCGGAGGGAAACCGAGUCUUAAUUGGGCGUUAAGUUGCAGGGUAUAGACCCGAAACCCGGUGAUCUAGCCAUGGGCAGGUUGAAGGUUGGGUAACACUAACUGGAGGACCGAACCGACUAAUGUUGAAAAAUUAGCGGAUGACCUGUGGCUGGGGGUGAAAGGCCAAUCAAACCGGGAGAUAGCUGGUUCUCCCCGAAAGCUAUUUAGGUAGCGCCUCGUGAAUUCAUUCCCGGGGGUCUAGCCCUGUU
RNAcentral lists this ribosomal RNA (601 nucleotides) under Salmonella enterica subsp. enterica serovar Typhimurium. Its description in RNAcentral is "bacterial LSU rRNA". It matches the Rfam family "Bacterial large subunit ribosomal RNA", at positions 308 to 914 of the family's 2925-position model. The record is from RNAcentral. Lineage: Bacteria; Pseudomonadati; Pseudomonadota; Gammaproteobacteria; Enterobacterales; Enterobacteriaceae.